AGCCAAGGAUGACUUGCCUA
RNAcentral lists this microRNA (20 nucleotides) under Corchorus olitorius. RNAcentral describes it as "gma-miR16". The record is from RNAcentral. Lineage: Eukaryota; Viridiplantae; Streptophyta; Magnoliopsida; Malvales; Malvaceae.